GUGGGAGACUGUGAAGCUAUCACGCUAGUGGUGGUGGAGUCGUUGUUGAAAUACCACUCUGAUCGGAUUGAGCAUCUAACCUUGGCCCAUGAUCUGGGUUGGGGACAGUGCCUGGUGGGUAGUUUAACUGGGGCGGUUGCCUCCCAAAAUGUAACGGAGGCGCCCAAAGGUUCCCUCAGCCUGGUUGGCAAUCAGGUGGUGAGUGUAAGUGCACAAGGGAGCUUGAC
This 227-nucleotide ribosomal RNA is filed under the name Helicobacter pylori. RNAcentral describes it as "partial 23S ribosomal RNA". It matches the Rfam family "Bacterial large subunit ribosomal RNA", at positions 2147 to 2373 of the family's 2925-position model. Lineage: Bacteria; Pseudomonadati; Campylobacterota; Epsilonproteobacteria; Campylobacterales; Helicobacteraceae. The record is from RNAcentral.